RNAcentral lists this ribosomal RNA (218 nucleotides) under Pheidole flavens. RNAcentral's name for it is "partial large subunit ribosomal RNA". The record is from RNAcentral. Lineage: Eukaryota; Metazoa; Arthropoda; Insecta; Hymenoptera; Formicidae.
GAAUUUUAUAUAAAUUUGUUAAGUAAAUUAAUAUUAAAUUAUAAUGAUAAAUUUAUAUUUUGUUGGGAGGAUGAUUAAAUUAAAAAAACUUUAAUAAAAUUAUUAAGUCAUUAAUUUAUGAAAUAGUUUGGAAUGGCAUUUAAGUUUGACUAGAAUUAAUUACCUUAGGGAUAACAGCGUAAUAUCUUUAGAGAGAUCUUAUUGAUAAAGAUGAUUGU